This 125-nucleotide small RNA is filed under the name Marmota monax (woodchuck). The record is from RNAcentral. Lineage: Eukaryota; Metazoa; Chordata; Mammalia; Rodentia; Sciuridae.
ACUGGGCACAGUGGUGCAUGCCUGUAAUCCCAGCAGCUCGGGAGGCUGAGACAGGAGGAUUGUAAGUUCAAAGCCAGCCUCAGCAAAAGCAAGGCACUAAGUAACUCAGUGAGACCCUGUCUCUA